RNAcentral lists this ribosomal RNA (461 nucleotides) under uncultured beta proteobacterium. RNAcentral describes it as "bacterial SSU rRNA". It matches the Rfam family "Bacterial small subunit ribosomal RNA", at positions 200 to 642 of the family's 1533-position model. The record is from RNAcentral. Lineage: Bacteria; Pseudomonadati; Pseudomonadota; Betaproteobacteria.
AGAAAAGCAGGGGAUCGCAAGACCUUGCGCUUUUGGAGCGGCCGAUGUCUGAUUAGCUAGUUGGUGAGGUAAAGGCUUACCAAGGCGUCGAUCAGUAGCUGGUCUGAGAGGACGACCAGCCACACUGGGACUGAGACACGGCCCAGACUCCUACGGGAGGCAGCAGUGGGGAAUUUUGGACAAUGGGGGAAACCCUGAUCCAGCCAUGCCGCGUGAGUGAAGAAGGCCUUCGGGUUGUAAAGCUCUUUCAGCCGGAACGAAACGGUCACAGCUAAUACCUGUGACUACUGACGGUACCGGAAGAAGAAGCACCGGCUAACUACGUGCCAGCAGCCGCGGUAAUACGUAGGGUGCGAGCGUUAAUCGGAAUUACUGGGCGUAAAGCGUGCGCAGGCGGUUUUGUAAGUCAGAUGUGAAAUCCCCGGGCUUAACCUGGGGACUGCGUUUGAAACUACAAGGCU